AUUCCCUUUGCAGAUACUGGGGUGGCGACUUACUCUUUUUGUCAGCUGAGUAUCCAUCAUGAAGUUGUGCACGUGCUUUUCUGCUUUGACCGGCAGGUCUUUAGGCCAAUCAACUUUGAUAUACCGGGAAUGAAAAGAGAUGCAUUGUACAACUUCCAACUGUUCUACAUAUAUAACAGAAAGGUCACACUGAUGUAUUACGUGCUGAAGGUGGCCACUGCUGAGAUCCUUCUGGAAAGAAAUCAAAAUCCUAACAGGAGUGGAAAAUCACUGGUAUCAAGAGCCUUUGGAAACCUUUAAUUUGUUUUUAUUUCUGGGCUCUAUUUUUCCUGCUGCUGGCCCAUUUCUUGCUGCGUGUUCUCUAGCUCACCCAAAUCUUGUGCAA
Eptesicus fuscus (big brown bat) is the source of this 385-nucleotide long non-coding RNA. RefSeq lists it as uncharacterized. Lineage: Eukaryota; Metazoa; Chordata; Mammalia; Chiroptera; Vespertilionidae. The transcript is spliced from 3 exons. The record is from RefSeq and is a predicted model, not a curated record.